This 376-nucleotide ribosomal RNA is filed under the name uncultured bacterium. Its description in RNAcentral is "bacterial SSU rRNA". It matches the Rfam family "Bacterial small subunit ribosomal RNA", at positions 524 to 898 of the family's 1533-position model. The record is from RNAcentral.
UACGUAGGGUGCGAGCGUUAAUCGGAAUUACUGGGCGUAAAGCGCGUGUAGGCGGUCCUGCAAGUCUGAUGUGAAAGCCCCGGGCUUAACCCGGGAAGUGCAUUGGAAACUGCAGGUCUUGAGUACUGGAGAGGAUGGGGGAAUUCCCGGUGUAGAGGUGAAAUUCGUAGAGAUCGGGAGGAAUAUCAGUGGCGAAGGCGCCCAUCUGGACGGUAACUGACGCUGAGACGCGAAAGCGUGGGGAGCAAACAGGAUUAGAUACCCUGGUAGUCCACGCUGUAAACGAUGAGCACUGGGUGUAGCGGGUACUCAUUCCUGCUGUGCCGCAGCUAACGCGUUAAGUGCUCCGCCUGGGGAUUACGGUCGCAAGACUAAA